This 1285-nucleotide ribosomal RNA is filed under the name uncultured bacterium. RNAcentral's name for it is "bacterial SSU rRNA". It matches the Rfam family "Bacterial small subunit ribosomal RNA", at positions 67 to 1345 of the family's 1533-position model. The record is from RNAcentral.
GGGCAGCGGGGUAGUGCUUGCACCACUGCCGGCGACCGGCGCACGGGUGAGUAACACGUAUGGAACCUGCCCGCAGCAGGGGGAUAAGCGGAAGAAAUUCCGUCUAAUACCGCGUAACAACGUUGGGAGGCAUCUCCCGAUGUUUAAAGAUUUAUCGGCUGCGGAUGGCCAUGCGGCGCAUUAGCUAGUCGGCGGGGUAACGGCCCACCGAGGCGACGAUGCGUAGGGGUUCUGAGAGGAAGGUCCCCCACACUGGUACUGAGACACGGACCAGACUCCUACGGGAGGCAGCAGUGAGGAAUAUUGGUCAAUGGCCGAGAGGCUGAACCAGCCAAGUCGCGUGAGGGAAGACGGCCCUACGGGUUGUAAACCUCUUUUGUCGGGGAGCAAAGCGAACCACGUGUGGUUCAUUGAGAGUACCCGAAGAAAAAGCAUCGGCUAACUCCGUGCCAGCAGCCGCGGUAAUACGGAGGAUGCGAGCGUUAUCCGGAUUUAUUGGGUUUAAAGGGUGCGCAGGCGGAGGUGCAAGUCAGCGGUCAAAUUGCGGGGCUCAACCCCGUACUGCCGUUGAAACUGCAUCCCUUGAGUGCGCGAGAAGUAUGCGGAAUGCGUGGUGUAGCGGUGAAAUGCAUAGAUAUCACAAAAAACUCCGUUUGGGAAGGCAGCAUCCCGGCGCGCAAUUGACGCUCAUGCAGGAAAGCGUGGGUAUCGAACAGGAUUAGAUACCCUGGUAGUCCACGCAGUAAACGAUGAACACUAACUGUUCGGCCAGAAUGAUGGCUGAGUGGUACAGCGAAAGCGUUAAGUGUUCCACCUGGGGAGUACGCCGGCAACGGUGAAACUCAAAGGAAUUGACGGGGGCCCGCACAAGCGGAGGAACAUGUGGUUUAAUUCGAUGAUACGCGAGGAACCUUACCCGGGCUCAAACGACACAGGAAUACUUUUGAAAGGAGGUAGCCCUACGGGGUCUGUGUCGAGGUGCUGCAUGGUUGUCGUCAGCUCGUGCCGUGAGGUGUCGGCUUAAGUGCCAUAACGAGCGCAACCCCUAUCGCCAGUUACCAUCAAGUAAAGUUGGGGACUCUGGCGAGACUGCCGGCGCAAGCUGAGAGGAAGGCGGGGAUGACGUCAAAUCAGCACGGCCCUUACGUCCGGGGCGACACACGUGUUACAAUGGCAGGUACAGAGAGAAGCCAGGUGGCGACACCGCGCGGAACUCGAAAGCCUGUCUCAGUUCGGAUCGGAGUCUGCAACCCGACUCCGUGAAGCUGGAUUCGCUAGUAAUCGC